AUUGAACGCUGGCGGCAGGCUUAACACAUGCAAGUCGAGCGGAGAUGAGGUGCUCGCACCUUAUCUUAGCGGCGGACGGGUGAGUAAUGCUUAGGAAUCUGCCUAUUAGUGGGGGACAACAUUCCGAAAGGAAUGCUAAUACCGCAUACGUCCUACGGGAGAAAGCAGGGGAUCUUCGGACCUUGCGCUAAUAGAUGAGCCUAAGUCGGAUUAGCUAGUUGGGGGGGUAAAGGCCUACCAAGGCGACGAUCUGGAGGGGGUCUGAGAGGAUGAUCCGCCACACUGGGACUGAGACACGGCCCAGACUCCUACGGGAGGCAGCAGUGGGGAAUAUUGGACAAUGGGGGGAACCCUGAUCCAGCCAUGCCGCGUGUGUGAAGAAGGCCUUAUGGUUGUAAAGCACUUUAAGCGAGGAGGAGGCUACUGAGACUAAUACUCUUGGAUAGUGGACGUUACUCGCAGAAUAAGCACCGGCUAACUCUGUGCCAGCAGCCGCCGUAA
This 501-nucleotide ribosomal RNA is filed under the name uncultured bacterium. RNAcentral describes it as "partial 16S ribosomal RNA". It matches the Rfam family "Bacterial small subunit ribosomal RNA", at positions 30 to 523 of the family's 1533-position model. The record is from RNAcentral.